ACCUGCCCAUUGGAAUCUAAAAGGCCGCGGUAUUAUGACCGUGCUAAGGUAGCAUAAUCAUUAGUCUUUUAAUUGGAGGCUGGUAUGAAUGGUUGGACAAGAAAUAAGCUGUCUUAAAUAAAAAUAUUGAAUUUAACUUUUAAGUGAAAAGGCUUAAAUUUUCUAAGGGGACGAUAAGACCCUAUAAAACUUUAUAUUUUAAAAUAAUAAUUAAUUUUUAUAUAGAAGAUUUAUUUUUAAAUAUUUUAUUGGGGUGAUAAAGAUAAAAUGUGAGAUAACUGUCUUUUUUUUUUUACAAUUAAUAUUUGAGUAAAAGAUCUUAACAAAGGAAAUAAGAGAUUAAGUUACUUUAGGGAUAACAGCGUAAUUUUCUUUAAGAGUUCUUAUCAACAAGAAAGUUUGCGACCUCGAUGUUGAAUUAAAAGUUCUUUAUAGAGUAGAUAUUAUAAUAGAGGGUCUGUUCGACCCUUAAAAUUUUACGUG
RNAcentral lists this ribosomal RNA (483 nucleotides) under Pontastacus leptodactylus (narrow-clawed crayfish). RNAcentral's name for it is "Astacus leptodactylus (narrow-clawed crayfish) partial large subunit ribosomal RNA". It matches the Rfam family "Bacterial large subunit ribosomal RNA", at positions 1857 to 2602 of the family's 2925-position model. The record is from RNAcentral. Lineage: Eukaryota; Metazoa; Arthropoda; Malacostraca; Decapoda; Astacidae.